Molecule: long non-coding RNA, 1194 nt
Organism: Ficedula albicollis (Collared flycatcher)
Lineage: Eukaryota; Metazoa; Chordata; Aves; Passeriformes; Muscicapidae
Exons: 4
Source: RefSeq, a predicted model, not a curated record
GACCUUCCCGUGGCGCUGCCGUCCUGCGCCGGUCCCGAGAGCCGCGUGUGUUCCGAGCACACCGGGCUGGUCCCUGCGCUCGGAACGUUCCACGGCCCCGUUAACUGCUCCUGACCCGAGCGUUCACCGCACCGCGGGGUCCGCACCUCCCCGGGCAGCUGCUCCACGGCGCUGCCACCCUCAGGGCGGAGUUCGUCGAAUUGAGGUAAAACUUUUUAGUUUAUGGCCACUGCCACUGGGCACCACUGAAGAGUAUUUUACAGGAGACACUGAAAGGGAGCAGGUAGUCCCCAUAAGCAGAGGAAAUACCCGGUGUAAAUGUAUCAACAUUACAGAUGAAAGCAAGAAAAGUAGUAUUUGUAAAUGGAAAAAAAUAAAGAAAGUCUUUUGGCAAAGAUUAAAUGUAUGACUGGUGAGCAGAUGGGUAUCUUAAAUAACGACUUCUUUAAUCAAGAAGUAGAAUGUUUAAAGAGAAGAGUUGGACAAGCAGAAUGCAACAUAACCCAUGAAGAAAUAGUUAAAACAUCACUACAGAAGGUCUCCGAACUGGAGAAGGAGGUGAAUGCUAUCCUGGCUCUCCAGGAGGAAACCUCAUCAACAGUAGCUGUUCCUUAGGUGGGAUGCAGGUGCAGCCUCCCCCGUGGCUAUUGGUUGAUGUUUGAGAAUUUGUUUUGAGACUACAACGUAGUUCUUCUCAGUUUGAUUAAACAAAUUCAAAGGAGGGGAUGUUGACAACUUCUGCUUUGAUGCUGUCCUGUUGGAGACACACUGGAGUUUUUCUGCUGAAGGGCUGGACUUCUUUAUGACAAAAAAGUUUCUGACAGUGUACCUGCCUCUUUGAGUUACCUUGCAUCAUCCAUUUACCUAUUCCUAGCCCAUUGCCUAUGAGCCAUGAAAUGCAUUCAUUGAACUGUAACGAACUGCAAGUUGAAGACUAAUUUCUUAGACGGUGCAAAUGGCAAUCUGAAACAAUAAAUAAAAAUGUCGGUAACAUAGCUACUAGUACAAAAGCAUUUCUUAUGGUAGGUACUGAUGCAUUAGUACUAAAAUAAGACUGCAAAACAUCUUUUUUUUUGUGGGGACAUUGGUUGUUAGGGAGAACAGGAAUUCCUCAUGUCCUUAGACUGAUUGUAUUUUGUUGUGCUGAAAUCCUUGUAGCUAAUCUUACAGGAGACGUAGUUCUGUAAAUUGUCG